RNAcentral lists this ribosomal RNA (429 nucleotides) under uncultured bacterium. Its description in RNAcentral is "bacterial SSU rRNA". It matches the Rfam family "Bacterial small subunit ribosomal RNA", at positions 340 to 784 of the family's 1533-position model. The record is from RNAcentral.
UACGAAGGCAGCAGUGGGGAAUAUUGGACAAUGGGCGAAAGCCUGAUCCAGCCAUGCCGCAUGAGUGAAGAAGGCCUUCGGGUUGUAAAGCUCUUUUAGUGAGAAAGAUAAUGACGUUACCCGAAAAGAAGCACCGGCUAACUCCGUGCCAGCAGCCGCGGUAAUACGGAGGGUGCUAGCGUUAAUCAGAAUUACUGGGCGUAAAGAGCACGUAGGUGGUUUUUUUAAGUCAGAUGUGAAAUCCCUGGGCUUAACCUAGGAACUGCAUUUUGAAAACUGAAAUACUAGAGUAUCGUAGAGGGAGGUAGAAUUCUAGGUGUAGCGGUGAAAUGCGUAGAUAUCUGGAGGAAUACCUGUGGCGAAAGCGGCCUCCUAAACGAAUACUGACACUGAGGUGCGAAAGCGUGGGGAGCAAACAGGGAUUAGAUA